Molecule: long non-coding RNA, 4624 nt
Filed under: Volvox carteri
Lineage: Eukaryota; Viridiplantae; Chlorophyta; Chlorophyceae; Chlamydomonadales; Volvocaceae
Description: long non-coding RNA (VCAR_LNC000609)
Source: RNAcentral
ACCCCUCAGGUACUGCAACAGCUGUGCCGCAACCACCCGCAGCUGCUACUGCCGCGGCAGCCGCGGAACAGGCCGCUACCGCCACCACCCGGUUCCGAGUCACCGCCGCCGCCGCCCUCACCCGCCAUCGCUACUACUGCAGCAGCGUCCAACGACGCCCCGCCUGUCCCCCUUUCCGUACGAGUGCUGGGGGGGACAUCAGCAGGUCCGCUGCACGACCUUCUGCCCCUGGGCAGCCAGGGUGCGGACCCCGCCAAUCCCGCGAUCCCAUCUGGGCCCGCACCCUUCGGCCCUGGGGCUGCUGAUGCGUUUGUAUCGGGAGGCGCUCUGGCAGUGCUGCCCGAGUGCUGGUGGCUGCGUUACCUGGGUCGGGGUCUGCCCACCACCAUGUACCAACAGUUGCGGGACGGGGGUGUAGAAGGAGGGGAGAAACGGAGGAAAACGGUGGCAGCGGGCGGCGAGGCGGCGGGGGGGGGUGCGGGGGGGGAUGCAGGAGGAGGGGGAACAGCACUCUCAGGAGGAGGAUGGGAAGGAGGAGGAGAAGGAGGAGGUGGGAGAAGGAACGCGGACUUUGCGGAAUCCACAGUAUAUGGAGGAGGAGGCGGGAGAGGUGACGGAUAUGGAGACCUCAGACGCGAGAGGCUAAGGUGCGCAAGCUGGGUGAUUUCAGCUCCCCAUCUCACACACAUACAUACAUACAUAUGUGCCGAUGUGUGGGACAGGGGGUCUAUCUUCACCCUGAGGCCGCUACCCGGCAGACCCUGCUUUCCCCGGUACUUUGGGGCACCCUCAUCCAUUCACCCUAGCCGACUUCUCAGUGGAUCGCUCAGGUUCAGCACCCACCACUGGCAUCCAACGGGAUCUGCCGGAUCAACGGCGGCUCAACUACAUUCCUGGUCAGCUCGCAGGUCUACUUUAUCCCAGUAUGUAUGUAUGCAUGUAUGUAUGCGCCAUUGAGGAUCUUGCCAUUUAAGACUCCUACAUGGCCCUGCCCCUCCCACCCACAACACCUUGCACGUGUUCGCAGGCACCUCGGGCUGCAUGUGCUGAUGGCGCCCAGGCGAGGCUUUGAAAGGGGUGAGCAGCUGCUGGGAGAGAAGCGGACGGAGGAGAAGGGUGCCGAGCAGGUUGAGUGGCGGCUAGGGAAUGAUAGUGGCAGAGGAGGUGGGGAAGGAGGCGUCUUGGUGGGGCUGGUUGAUGAACGCGACGGGGUUGCGAUGACUAGUGUGGUGGAGGGCGGCUGCGGAGGCGCAGAGGUUGAGAGGAUGUGUAGCACCACUGGCUGUAGCGACUGCAGUGUCAGUGGCUGUAGCGGUAAUAGUGCUGCUGCUGUUGCUGCCGCCACAGUGGCGCCGCCGCUCCUGCUCUGGUUCCCAAGCCUCACAGCGGCACUCCUAGCAGCGCAGUUUGCGUGGUUCAGGACGGGUGCCGUACGGUUUCGGAGUGCCAAGCAGCUGCAAACAGCGUUACAAGGGCUGCCGGAGUAUGCCGAGCAGCGGAUGGAGGACCUGCGGGGAGGAUUACCGACGUGGCUUGACCUGGGGUCAAUGUUGUCGGAUGGGUGAUGGGUGAUGACCGACCUGGCCCGGCUGAGCGGUCACCUGACUUCCGGGGUGAGGGUUAAAUGGACAGAGCGUUUCCGAGGCCCUUGUAAGGAAGUGUCAAACGGCGCAGGUUGAGGGACCCAUUUGCCCGCUGAAUCACUGUCCGGAAUCGGACUGCCGCCUCGCUUCGGAAGCAGCCGAUGGUAAAAGGUUGUGGCAGGAGCUGGAAAGUGAAGCGAAAUUACAGCUGUGCUGUUAUAUCAGGAGAUGUUAUUAUGCUGUCUGACAAUUUGGAACCAUUUCUCGAUUUGUGCGUGCCAUCCUUGCGCAGGGGCCAUGCUAAUCCUCUCUGUAUUUUUCCAAUUUUAAAAGUUGUGCCGAAGCUCUGACGGUCGACAUGGUGGUUGCCCGCGUCUGCUGGGAGAAAGCUUACAAACGAAACUAGUAGUAGGACACGGCGUUCCGAUUCCGCAGAGAUGGCGUUAAACCGUUGGGCCGCCACAUACCACCACCAGGGCAGUCCGGUCUUGCUGGGGGCCGCCGCCCUGUGGGUGGUUUGAGAGUGGAAACCCUUUGCGACUCUCCGCCACAGCGACAAAGGGAUGAGAUGCUCCAUGAGCUGCGGUGGCCGACAUGGUUGCGGCCCAUCGUACUCGGCUCUGUGAGGACGGGGAGGUCUGUAGGGAUAUAAGGUGGUGUUGAUGAUUCGUGAUGGAAGGGUGUGGUCCCGGCACCUGGAAACCCCAGCUAGUUAUACGUGUGGCGGCAGCCCCAAGUAUUUGCCACUUGGGACAGUCAAUGCAAAAAGAACCGCAUCGGAAAAGCUCAAUAAAAAUGUGUAUUCUCAGGGCAGAGCUUCCGCAUUCUCCUGUGCUCUGGGACGGGCAUCAGUCCAUCCCUCGAUGAGCAGCGCAGUAGAUUCUUGGGCCCUGGUUUGGCGGCGGUCCGGAUCGAUUGAAAAUCGUUUGUUUCGUUUCUUCGCUUCGCUAUAGACUGGAACCCUUAUCUGAAGCGUUAAUGUAGUAUGAAGUCUCUACAUGAAGACAUGCGUAUGGGCCAGCCCAGCUGCAAGACUGCAGCUCGCGAUUCCGUCCUGAGCCAGGUAGCUGGUGGCACUGAACCCCUACUUUUUCCGAGGUAGCUUAGCCACGAGCCCCAUAUGCCUACUUGGAUAAAAAACACGUCUUAUUGGAAUGCCCAGCCUAUAAUGAUGUUAAUGCUGAGGAGGGAUUCGAUCAUCAACAGAGCAUGUUGGAGGCCAUGAAAUGGGAACCAGUACGUGUGGCGAGGAUGUUGGAACGUAUGUGGGCUCACCGAAACUCAGUUACCCCCUUUGGACGCUAGUCUGGGCUGAUGUGCGGUGUUUCCUGUUCUCCGUGGCCUUUAGGCGUAUAGAUAUUGCCCUUGGGCCUUCGGCUCGUAUGGGUAGUUUUAUAGUUAUGAGGUCAAACACACACAUACACAUAUCCCUACUUAGUAAUCGGGCCGGCUAAGGUGGUAGCUCCGAAAACCCAAAUCACCGCAUGUGACAGGGAAAAGUUGUAAACACCGACCUAACGUUUGUGUUGGAUUAAGACUGCCGCGUUGGAAUCGAGGUUGCAGGGACAUGCAACCGUUCAACUGCAGGUUUUCCGAAGGUAAGACGACAAUUGCCACUCAUGACUGAGUACACCUCUGACCAAGUGCAUGUCCAAUGAUCUGACCUCCCAUGUGAUGUAAUUCCUAUUGGUGUGCGUUCGUUAGUUAGCAGUCAACAAAUACACCUGUAAGUUCGCUCGGCCGAUCAGCCGACGAGCUGAAAAGCGAGUCCCAUAAUGUUUUUUACAAAGCCAAGCGGGAGUCGAAAUGAUGAGCACACGAACCGAUAAGUCACCCUCAUCUGUUCAACACACAUCGGCUACAGUCUAACACAUCAUCUUCUCUGCAGUCGGUGACAGAUUUCCUCACAGGGAACAUUCAAAGAGUCCCACCCCUCGCGGCUCAUCAAAAAAAUUACCCGACCUUGGCUUCACGACUACCUCCAGGAAGCCGCCAUAACCCGCGCCCCAACAGACCCUAGGUAUGUAAGAGAGCUGCUUCCAGGCCCUUACGAGUAGUACGGCAGGAUCUGCGUGCAGACGUAAGCCCAUGCAACACCAGCCUCACCACCGACCAGGAAGCCAGCAGUGAACUCAGCCCACCUGCAGAGCGAGCCAAGAGGGUGCAAUGAACGAGUAAAUGGGUAGCAACUUCAGUACAAACCCACGAAGAUCAUGACAUCUUAAUCAUCUUACUUGACUGAGUCAGUCUCAUUCUUUUAUAUGAAAUAGAGCUUACCCAUCAGCGGAGAAGAGCGGGUCGCGGGCAACGCUGCGGCCCGACAGGGUCUUCACGCCCAGCUUAGGCGCAGACUGGAACUGGGCCGAGCCGUAGACAGAGAGAGCCAGAGACAGAAUCAGCACCAGACCAGCAGCCGAAAGAGAGCCAGCAAUCUCAGCAACCUCGGGCACGUUGCGCAGCGGGCCCAGCUGCAGGGAACAUUGUAAACCAUACAGAAGAAGUCAUCAGCAACACAGCUCUGCUCGUAGUACCUUCCAAAGUUUGCCAAGUAAUCGGCAAGCAAAUCCUUGAUAUCCUUUAUUCCGUAAGUUCACAGCCUGUUACUAGAAGGUAUGCCUAUUGAAAGUGCGCAUUUAAGCAAAUAGGCAAAGCACAGCCAUUCCCUGGUGACUGGUAGUGUCAAUCGACAUCGGACAACAAGAGCUCGUCGCUGUGCAUAUGUAACGAAGUUAUCGCUGGGACCUACCUUAAUGAAGGGGCCAGCUACCAGGAAGCCGUGCGCAAGGCCAAUCUCCACGCCGCGCAGCAGGGGAGCAACGCCAGUGCGGUAGGCCGGCAGGUUGCUCAGGUAAGUGGCGACGAUUGGGGCCGAGGUCACGGGGGUCUCCAGCAUACCCACGAACGGAUCGCCGUUAACGGGGGUGAUCACCUGGGCCUGCAGACGAGCAAGUGUGGAUAGUAAUUUGCCUUUUCAUGGACGGUUCUCUAUGAAGACAAGAGAAGUUUGCACUGUAAUCAUAUUUUCAGCUGGUGAUCUUCAC